GUGGGGAAUAUUGGACAAUGGGCGCAAGCCUGAUCUAGCCAUGCCGCGUGAGCGAUGAAGGCCUUAGGGUUGUAAAGCUCUUUCGUGGGGGAAGAUAAUGACUGUACCCCAAGAAGAAGCCCCGGCUAACUCCGUGCCAGCAGCCGCGGUAAUACGGUGGGGGCUAGCGUUGUUCGGAAUUACUGGGCGUAAAGCGCACGUAGGCGGACCAGAAAGUCAGAGGUGAAAGCCCGGGGCUCAACCCCGGAACUGCCAUUGAAACUCCUGGUCUUGAGGUCGAGAGAGGUGGGUGGAAUUCCGAGUGUAGAGGUGAAAUUCGUAGAUAUUCGGAGGAACACCAGUGGCGAAGGCGGCUCACUGGCUCGAUACUGACGCUGAGGUGCGAAAGCGUGGGGAGCAAACAGGAUUAGAAACCCGUGUAGUCC
This 425-nucleotide ribosomal RNA is filed under the name uncultured bacterium. RNAcentral's name for it is "partial 16S ribosomal RNA". It matches the Rfam family "Bacterial small subunit ribosomal RNA", at positions 354 to 796 of the family's 1533-position model. The record is from RNAcentral.